Passer domesticus (house sparrow) is the source of this 1685-nucleotide long non-coding RNA. RefSeq lists it as uncharacterized. The transcript has 2 exons. Lineage: Eukaryota; Metazoa; Chordata; Aves; Passeriformes; Passeridae. The record is from RefSeq and is a predicted model, not a curated record.
GGGCAGAGGCAGGCAGGGAUCACGCCGGCAGUGAGCAAGCGGGGCAGGGCAGGGCAGCAGCAAGGAAGUGCUGUCAUGCCUGGCCUUGCCUUGCCUGGCCCUGCCCAGCCCAGGGAGGGCUGAGACAAACAAGGAUGAAGGAAGAAGGCAUUGCCAUCCAACUGCAAUGAGGGGAAUUGCCAUUCCCCUCUCUGCCCUGUGCCCAGCCUCUGCGGGAUUACUUUGACAUGGCAUUCCUGAUGUUUCUGGGAUGGGGGCUGCACUGAUGGUAUCAGGCCAGCAGCCAACUACAAAAAAUAACUAACCUGAACGUGAUCCAACAUGUCACAGCUGUAGAUGGGGAGCACAGGACACUGCCAGCUCGAUGUGACAGCUCUAUGACCUCCUCCACUUCCUCAGAUCCACACAAACACACCAGAGACAUCUCCCUCCAGGCAGUUGUUCCCAGCACAUUAUAACCUGUAACAAUAUCCUGUCCUCCCCAGAAAUGAGGGGGAACCCAGCUCAGGUCUGUCCAAGCCCUCCCCACUGCCACCUUCUCACCAGGCCCUUGGCCCCUGCCAGGCUCCUGCUUCUGCAGAGAGCACAUGAGAGAAGAUGGAGCUUGAACCCGGGCAGUGAGAAACCAACAGGGAACAGGAAAUUGAAGGAGAAUUAAGGCCACUGCUCAGCAAGGUGCCUCCCCACCCACCCUGAUGUCAGCUACUGGCUACACUGAGCAGGCAGCAUCCAAGGAGGGCAUCUCUACAUGGGCUUCAAAAUAUUGGUAAAACAGUUUGGCAACAUGCAAGCCAUUAUCAUGGUCCCUUGGAGCUGGUCUGCUUCUCCCUGUAAGAAAUUUCUGAGUAUCCACUCAGGUUACUCUUACCUUGCCUCCUCCACAUGAAGAAGAGGCUCAUCCUCCUUCAAGACCACCUCUGAGACAGAUUUGCACAACGCCCACAAAAAAUUUCUGGAGAUAAAAAUCCUGAAGAUGAAAUAAAGGACACAGACUUGCUUCCUAAUCUAAGCACUUUCACCUCAAAAUGGAUUCCAGGAUUCCAGCCCAAUUCCUCAGGGCUUUCCAGGAAGACAGUGCUACUCCAACAGCAUCAGCACCAACAACACAGUGUGUUUUUAAGCCCUGGAAAACCAGCAGCUUAAACUCCAUCAAAGCCAAGGCAAUGGAGCAGUGGACACAAGGAAAAACCAUCAUCCUUGUCAUCUGUAUCCCACCACAUGCAUUUCCAAGUUUCUUCUCCCUUUUUUCCAUACCAAACCAGGUUGUCUAAGGAGCAAGAGGUGAAUCUUGCAACUGAGACACAUCAGCAUCAAUAUCCACCCACCAAAAAUAAAGCAAUACUCAACAGAAUUCCCAGGUAUAAGGGGUUACAAAUAUUCAGACUUUAUUAUAAAUAAGAAAUACUGUUUUAUACAUAAAAACUGCAAGUGUUGCAUUUUUGUUCACCGCCCCAGACAGCAAGACCACAGAUUAAGGCAAAAAAAGCUGGAGUGAAGGCACAUACUGAGGGGGCCACAGUCAGGAAUAAGGUGAUGAAGGGAUGUCAUGUGUCACCCAUGACACCCAGCACUCCACCAGCAGCUGUCACAUCAUCACAUUACGUAAAGAAAUAACUGGACUUAUACAAUGAAUAAUGGCUGUAAUGCAGUACUGAUUAACAGAUCGCUUAUAAAGAUUUUUUUUU